Molecule: ribosomal RNA, 430 nt
Filed under: bacterium enrichment culture
Lineage: Bacteria
Description: bacterial SSU rRNA
Rfam family: Bacterial small subunit ribosomal RNA
Source: RNAcentral
GCUAGAAAAUUGGGCAAUGGGGGAAACCCUGACCCAGUGACGCCGCGUGCAGGAAGAAGCCCUUCGGGGUGUAAACUGCUGUCGUGCGGGGCGAAGGGUCCAUAGGCGAAUAGCUUAUGGGCUUGACGGUACCGCAGGAGGAAGCCCAGGCUAACCUCGUGCCAGCAGCCGCGGUAAUACGGGGUGGGCGAGCGUUGCCCGGAAUUACUGGGUUUAAAGGGGGUGUAGGCGGUCCGGAGAGUCAGGUGUGUAAUCCAACCGCUCAACGGUUGGGCUGCACCUGAUACUUCCGGGCUAGAGGGCGGUAGAGGAGAGCGGAACUCCCGGUGUAGCGGUGAAAUGCGUAGAUAUCGGGAGGAACGUCGGUGGCGAAUGCGGCUCUCUGGGCCCGUUCCCUGACGCUGAGGCCCGAAAGCUGGGGGAGCGAAAG